AGAACGAACGCUGGCGGCAGGCUUAACACAUGCAAGUCGAACGCGUGUAGCAAUACACGAGUGGCGCACGGGUGAGUAACGCGUGGAUAUCUGCCUUUUGGUUCGGAAUAACCCCGGGAAACUGGGGCUAAUACCGGAUGGUUCCUACGGGAUAAAGAUUUAUCGCCAAAAGAUGAGUCCGCGUACGAUUAGCUAGUUGGUGAGGUAACGGCUCACCAAGGCGACGAUCAGUAGCUGGUCUGAGAGGAUGAUCAGCCACAUUGGGACUGAGACACGGCCCAAACUCCUACGGGAGGCAGCAGUGGGGAAUAUUGGACAAUGGGCGCAAGCCUGAUCCAGCCAUGCCGCGUGAGUGAUGAAGGCCCUAGGGUUGUAAAGCUCUUUUGUGCGGGAAGAUAAUGACGGUACCGCAAGAAUAGCCCGGCUAACUUCGCGCCAGCAGCCGC
RNAcentral lists this ribosomal RNA (446 nucleotides) under uncultured bacterium. RNAcentral describes it as "SSU rRNA". It matches the Rfam family "Bacterial small subunit ribosomal RNA", at positions 26 to 518 of the family's 1533-position model. The record is from RNAcentral.